Molecule: ribosomal RNA, 759 nt
Filed under: uncultured bacterium
Lineage: Bacteria
Description: bacterial SSU rRNA
Rfam family: Bacterial small subunit ribosomal RNA
Source: RNAcentral
GAUGAACGCUAGCUACAGGCUUAACACAUGCAAGUCGAGGGGCAGCAUGGUCUUAGCUUGCUAAGGCCGAUGGCGACCGGCGCACGGGUGAGUAACACGUAUCCAACCUGCCGUCUACUCUUGGACAGCCUUCUGAAAGGAAGAUUAAUACAAGAUGGCAUCAUGAGUCCGCAUGUUCACAUGAUUAAAGGUAUUCCGGUAGACGAUGGGGAUGCGUUCCAUUAGAUAGUAGGCGGGGUAACGGCCCACCUAGUCUUCGAUGGAUAGGGGUUCUGAGAGGAAGGUCCCCCACAUUGGAACUGAGACACGGUCCAAACUCCUACGGGAGGCAGCAGUGAGGAAUAUUGGUCAAUGGGCGAGAGCCUGAACCAGCCAAGUAGCGUGAAGGAUGACUGCCCUAUGGGUUGUAAACUUCUUUUAUAUAAGAAUAAAGUGCAGUAUGUAUACUGUUUUGUAUGUAUUAUAUGAAUAAGGAUCGGCUAACUCCGUGCCAGCAGCCGCGGUAAUACGGAGGAUCCGAGCGUUAUCCGGAUUUAUUGGGUUUAAAGGGAGCGUAGGUGGACUGGUAAGUCAGUUGUGAAAGUUUGCGGCUCAACCGUAAAAUUGCAGUUGAUACUGUCAGUCUUGAGUACAGUAGAGGCAGGCGGAAUUCGUGGUGUAGCGGUGAAAUGCUUAGAUAUCACGAAGAACUCCGAUUGCGAAGGCAGCCUGCUAAGCUGCAACUGACAUUGAGGCUCAAAAGUGUGGGUAUCAAACAGG